RNAcentral lists this transfer RNA (66 nucleotides) under Marmota monax (woodchuck). RNAcentral describes it as "tRNA.Ala". Lineage: Eukaryota; Metazoa; Chordata; Mammalia; Rodentia; Sciuridae. The record is from RNAcentral.
GUUGUGGCUCAGUGGUAGAGCACUUCUGGCAAGUGUGAGACCCUGGGUUCGAUCCUCAGCACCACA